Molecule: ribosomal RNA, 253 nt
Filed under: uncultured bacterium
Lineage: Bacteria
Description: partial 16S ribosomal RNA
Rfam family: Bacterial small subunit ribosomal RNA
Source: RNAcentral
UACGGAGGGUGCAAGCGUUAAUCGGAAUUACUGGGCGUAAAGCGCACGCAGGUGGCUGAGUCAGUCGAUUGUGAAAGCCCUGGGCUUAACCUGGGAAUUGCAGUCGAUACUACUCAGCUAGAGUAUGGGAGAGGGAAGCGGAAUUUCCGGUGUAGCGGUGAAAUGCGUAGAUAUCGGAAGGAACACCAGUGGCGAAGGCGGCUUCCUGGACUAAUACUGACGCUGAGGUGCGAAAGCGUGGGGAGCAAACAGG